CAGUCGAGCGAGCUUGCCUAGAUGAUUUUAGUGCUUGCACUAAAUGAAACUAGAUACAAGCGAGCGGCGGACAGGUGAGUAACACGUGGGUAACCUGCCCAAGAGACUGGGAUAACACCUGGAAACAGAUGCUAAUACCGGAUAACAACACUAGACGCAUGUCUAGAGUUUGAAAGAUGGUUCUGCUAUCACUCUUGGAUGGACCUGCGGUGCAUUAGCUAGUUGGUAAGGUAACGGCUUACCAAGGCAAUGAUGCAUAGCCGAGUUGAGAGACUGAUCGGCCACAUUGGGACUGAGACACGGCCCAAACUCCUACGGGAGGCAGCAGUAGGGAAUCUUCCACAAUGGACGAAAGUCUGAUGGAGCAACGCCGCGUGAGUGAAGAAGGGUUUCGGCUCGUAAAGCUCUGUUGGUAGUGAAGAAAGAUAGAGGUAGUAACUGGCCUUUAUUUGACGGUAAUUACUUAGAAAGUCACGGCUGACUACGUGCCAGCAGCCGCGGUAAUACGUAGGUGGCAAGCGUUGUCCGGAUUUAUUGGGCGUAAAGGGAACGCAGGCGGUCUUUUAAGUCUGAUGUGAAAGCCUUCGGCUUAACCGGAGUAGUGCAUUGGAAACUGGGAGACUUGAGUGCAGAAGAGGAGAGUGGAACUCCAUGUGUAGCGGUGAAAUGCGUAGAUAUAUGGAAGAACACCAGUGGCGAAAGCGGCUCUCUGGUCUGUAACUGACGCUGAGGUUCGAAAGCGUGGGUAGCAAACAGGAUUAGAUACCCUGGUAGUC
Molecule: ribosomal RNA, 776 nt
Filed under: uncultured bacterium
Lineage: Bacteria
Description: bacterial SSU rRNA
Rfam family: Bacterial small subunit ribosomal RNA
Source: RNAcentral